GCCCUAAACCUCAGUAGUUAGAUAACAAAACUACUCGCCAGAAUACUACAAGCAACAGCUUAAAACUCAAAGGACUUGACGGUGCUUUACAUCCCCCUAGAGGAGCCUGUUCCGUAAUCGAUAAACCCCGAUCCACCCCACCCUCUCUUGCUCAGCCUAUAUACCGCCAUCUUCAGCAAACCCUAAUGAAGGCCACAAAGUGAGCGCAAACGCCACUGCCGCGAAUACGUUAGGUCAAGGUGUAGCCCAUGAGACGGUAAAAAAUGGGCUACAUUUUCUAUUUCAGAAAACCCCACGAAAACCCUUAUGAAACUUAAGGGUCCAAGGAGGAUUUAGCAGUAAAUUAAGAAUAGAGUGCUUAAUUGAACCAGGCCAUAAAGCGCGCACACACCGCCCGUCACUCCUCUCAAAUAUAUUUAAGGAAUAUCCUAACUAAACGCCCUAAUAUUUAUAUAGAGAGGAUAAGUCGUAACAUGGUAAGCGUACUGGAAGGUGCGCUUGGAUAAAU
Molecule: ribosomal RNA, 508 nt
Filed under: Macaca fascicularis (crab-eating macaque)
Lineage: Eukaryota; Metazoa; Chordata; Mammalia; Primates; Cercopithecidae
Description: partial 12S ribosomal RNA
Rfam family: Bacterial small subunit ribosomal RNA
Source: RNAcentral